Molecule: non-coding RNA, 703 nt
Organism: Zonotrichia albicollis (white-throated sparrow)
Lineage: Eukaryota; Metazoa; Chordata; Aves; Passeriformes; Passerellidae
Source: the annotation of a RefSeq genome assembly
GUGGUAGCUCUGAACUCUGGCACCUACUGCAGUCCCCCCUACUCUUGCCCAGCCACGCUCGCACACAGCAGGAAGCCAGAGGAGCAGAGCACAAGCAGCUCAUGACUGCCUGCAGGUGUCAUUGCCCACCGUUCCUGGGCAGCCAAGAGCCUUGGUGACAUUUCAGACUGCCGCUGCCUCCCCUGCCCACCCACACAGAGACGCAUCUCUUGCUCUGCACCUCUCCUCUUUGCACACCUCUGUGUCUGUGCUGGCACCAGGGGCAGGUGCCUGGAAGGAGGGGGCCUUUCUCCAUGGAUUUCCACCGGUUCCUUGUGGCCAUGCUGCUCCCUGUGGGCUGGGCCCUUCAGCAAUCACCAGAUACAGUUGUCCGGGUGGGAGACACCAUCACUCUGGAAUGUUCUGCAUCAGGGAAAACUUUUGUGAACAUGUACUGGUACAAGUUACCCAUGGAGAAGGAUGCCAGAAUGCAGCUGGUUGUGUACUCAGUGGAAGGUGGCAAAGCAGAUAUUGAGAAGGAAUUCCAACAUCGCUUCCAGAGUAACGGGACCAGGAACAACCAUUUAGCUGUGCAGAUACAGCAUGCCCUACUCAAUGACACAGGCACAUAUUUCUGUGCUGAACAAGAUCCACAGUGAGUCAAAGGCUGGUGCAGCACAGCACAAACCUUUCCAGGCAGACAGGGAUCUGCCACCAGCACACA